Molecule: long non-coding RNA, 842 nt
Filed under: Salmo salar (Atlantic salmon)
Lineage: Eukaryota; Metazoa; Chordata; Actinopteri; Salmoniformes; Salmonidae
Description: lncRNA (ENSSSAG00000115262.1)
Source: RNAcentral
UGAACUUUGACCUGGAAGCAGAAAGCAGCUGUGUGAUGAUGAUGAUGAUGAUGAAUGUGAUGAAGAGGUGAACUCUGAGAGGAUUGAGACGAACUUGAGUUUUUUGUUUGAAUGAGUGUUAAUCGUUUUUCAUUUAUUUCUGAAUGUUGAUAAUCGUUGUCAACAGCAGUAGAUGUCUGCCAGAUGUUGGAUACAUGGAGCUUUUAUGAAGCCUUAUGAAGUCUUUAUGAAGCCUUAAAGAAGUCUUUAUGAAGCCUUAUGAACCUUUAGCAGUCUUUAUGAAGCCUUAAAGAAGUCUUUAUGAAGCCUUAAGAAGUCUUUAUGAAGCCUUAAGAAAGUCUUUAUGAAGCCUUAAGAAGUCUUUAUGAAGCCUUAAGAAGUAUUUUUGAAGCCUUAAGAAGUCUUUAUGAAGCCUUAAAGAAGUCUUUAUGAAGCCUUAAAGAAGUCUUCAUGAAGCCUUAAAGAAGUCUUUAUGAAGCCUUAAAGAAGUCUUUAUGAAGCCUCUUUAUGAAGCCUUAAAGAAGUCUUUAUGAAGCCUUAAGAAGUCUUUAUGAAGCCUUAAAGAAGUCUUUAUGAAGCCUUAAAGUAGUCUUUACGAAGCCUUAAAGAAGUCUUUAUGAAGCCUUAAAGAAGUCUUUAUGAAGCCUUAAGAAGUCUUUAUGAAGCGUUAUGAAGAACGGGAUCAGAGAUCCUUGAUAUCCCUGUGUCAAAUCAUCCGAUACCUCACACAUCCAAAUUAGAGGCUUCUUCUGUUCCUCUGUCUUCUGAUGUUGGAGCUCAUUGACAAUUCAAAUCUCAGGUCUUAUUUGAGCAGCAAGAAAAGAUGCUUGAACAACUGAACA